This 439-nucleotide ribosomal RNA is filed under the name Streptomyces sp. HVXM-17-2. RNAcentral describes it as "bacterial SSU rRNA". It matches the Rfam family "Bacterial small subunit ribosomal RNA", at positions 60 to 516 of the family's 1533-position model. The record is from RNAcentral. Lineage: Bacteria; Bacillati; Actinomycetota; Actinomycetes; Kitasatosporales; Streptomycetaceae.
AGUCGAACGAUGAAGCCCUUCGGGGUGGAUUAGUGGCGAACGGGUGAGUAACACGUGGGCAAUCUGCCCUGCACUCUGGGACAAGCCCUGGAAACGGGGUCUAAUACCGGAUACGAGCUUCCCGGGCAUCUGGGAGGUUGGAAAGCUCCGGCGGUGCAGGAUGAGCCCGCGGCCUAUCAGCUUGUUGGUGAGGUAACGGCUCACCAAGGCGACGACGGGUAGCCGGCCUGAGAGGGCGACCGGCCACACUGGGACUGAGACACGGCCCAGACUCCUACGGGAGGCAGCAGUGGGGAAUAUUGCACAAUGGGCGCAAGCCUGAUGCAGCGACGCCGCGUGAGGGAUGACGGCCUUCGGGUUGUAAACCUCUUUCAGCAGGGAAGAAGCGCAAGUGACGGUACCUGCAGAAGAAGCGCCGGCUAACUACGUGCCAGCAGCG